This 497-nucleotide ribosomal RNA is filed under the name uncultured bacterium. RNAcentral describes it as "partial 16S ribosomal RNA". It matches the Rfam family "Bacterial small subunit ribosomal RNA", at positions 28 to 507 of the family's 1533-position model. The record is from RNAcentral.
GAUGAACGCUGGCGGCGUGCCUAAUACAUGCCAGUCGAGCGAACGGACGAGAAGCUUGCUUCUCUGAUGUUAGCGGCGGACGGGUGAGUAACACGUGGAUACCCUACCUAUAAGACUGGGAUAACUUCGGGAAACCGGAGCUAAUACCGUAUAAUAUUUUGAACCGCAUGGUUCAAAAGUGAAAGACGGUCUUGCUGUCACUUAUAGAUGGAUCCGCGCUGCAUUAGCUAGUUGGUAAGGUAACGGCUUACCAAGGCAACGAUGCAUAGCCGACGUGAGAGGGUGAUCGGCCACACUGGAACUGAGACACGGUCCAGACUCCUGCGGGAGGCAGCAGUAGGGAAUCUGCCGCAGUGGGCGAAAGCCUGACGGAGCACCGCCGCGUGAGUGAUGAAGGUCUUCGGAUCGUAAAACUCUGUUAUUAGGGAAGAACAUAUGUGUAAGUAACUGUGCACAUCGUGACGGUACCUAAUCAGAAAGCCACGGCUAACUACGUG